CACUGAAAAAAAUGGACUUGGUGGGUCUUUGAAUUUAAAUAAAAUAAACAUGUAUAUGCAACACAAAAUAUUUAUAUUCCUUGUGUAAACAUAAUUUAAUUGAUUAGGAUGAAAAUGUUUUGUUUGAAUGUAAAAUGAACACAUUAUUCUCACAUUGAUUAAAAUUGAUUGAAUUGAAUACUUAAAGCAAUAAAAUUGAGUUUGCACACAAAAUGGCACCUCCUGAGCAGAAGGUGGCAGUAACGCUCAAUAAAAAGGACGUCAAUCGCCAUAAAAGAAGAAUAAACAUCGUUUGUUUUGGGCGCCAAAAUGAAGACUCAGCAGCAGUCAGUCAGAAGAACUCUCUCAGACGGACACCACGUUAUUAAAGUAAGUUCUAUUAUUUAUUUAUGUUCACUUUAUACGUGAUACAUCUUCACUAGAUAGACAGUUUUUUUUACAAUAUGUAGCCAUUGCAAUGACUUGUAGUAAAAAUGAGUUUGGAGGAUGUUGGUGGAGUAAGUUAACGUUACAGUCAGUCAGUCAGUAACUUAAGUGUAAGGCUCAUAAAGAAAAACAGCGUUUUAAAAAUGUCAGCUGUAUAACGUUAUUUCACGUUUGGUAGUUUUAUCCGAGUUGAAAACUGACAGAUUUGAGUUGACUUUUGAGGCACUUUUUACUCAGUUGUUCUAUGGAAACGGUUCAGGACAAAUAAAACGCUAACCAAACGUUAUUCUGUCAGGAGUAACGUUAUCCAUGUAAGUAAUUUACCAGAUGAUAUCAAUUGACUACAUUAAUAAUGACAUUGUAUGAAACAAACUGUCUGCUUAAUCAGAUGAACAGACCCGCGUCAGUUAUUCGUGACUUCACUACGCCACGAGCAACACUUGAUUCAAUUAGAAAAAGCUUUUUUUAAAUGCCUCGCGUGACGUCUGGUAUAUUAACUGAAAAAAUUGCUUUGAAGUGCCACACCUUAAAGCUGACGUUUUCAGAAGAGCACCUUGUUUUAAGAUCUCAUUUUGUCCAAAAUUGCGUCCUAUGACAGAUAUAAUACUUAUUUCAUGAUUGCUCUGUGUAUGUGUGACCUUCAUCAUUUGAGGUUGUGUGUUGAUUUCACCUCUGAAUAUUUCCUCUUAUAGGUCCAUCAUCCUUGCAUGCGCUACACACUCAAAAGCAUUGAUAAAUGCUGAAUUUAAAAGAAUCACUACUGUCUUAUGUUCCUGCGUGUCACCUGGACCUCCAAUCCAAAAACCUGACGAAACUCUUCUAUCAGAAAGGAGGACAGCUAGCAAACAGACUUCAAACAAUGAAUGAUCAAAUGACAGAAGGCAUGAAUGAAGUCAGCAUCAGUGUGGUCAUUUGAAGUCACCACUGUUGGGAUUUGUGCUCUCAAACAACAUGCUUCUUGUGAUGAAGAAGAGGAUCUUUGUAUAGUCCUGAA
This is a long non-coding RNA of Paramisgurnus dabryanus, 1420 nucleotides long. RefSeq lists it as uncharacterized. Lineage: Eukaryota; Metazoa; Chordata; Actinopteri; Cypriniformes; Cobitidae. The record is from RefSeq and is a predicted model, not a curated record.